Molecule: transfer RNA, 77 nt
Filed under: Intestinimonas butyriciproducens
Lineage: Bacteria; Bacillati; Bacillota; Clostridia; Eubacteriales
Description: tRNA-OTHER
Source: RNAcentral
GCCCUUGUAGCUCAGGUGGGAGAGCCUGCGGGUUAAUAGGCCCGCUAGUGUCGCCGGUUCGAGCCCGGAUGAGGGCA